CUGGCCACUGGUUUAUAAGCACCUUGGCACUGCUGUCUCUGUCAGGAAGGGAGGCUCCUACAGACGGACUCUGACCAACCCCUGCCCGGGACGUUGCUGAGGACAGGAUGAUGGCCAGACCAUACUGUGUGGUAGUGGCCCUGCUGCUGCUGGCAGUGGUCUCUGGGUUCGAAGAAGGGGCAUCCAAUCCUGGGUUCGUGGCCAGAAUAACCAGAAAAGGCCUGGAAUAUGCCCGCCGAUUCGGAGUAGCCAUCCUGAAGAAGGAACUGUCCACAAUCAAGUUGCCUGAUUUCUCAGGAAGCUUCAAAGUCGGCUGGAUUAAAAGCGUGAGCUAUGACUUUUACAGACUGAAGAUCCAUCGCUUCGAGCUCAGGAACUCGGAUUUGAGGCUACGUCCACGGCAGGGGGUCACAGCCUCCCUGGCCAAUAACUACGUAUUUGUCAGUGGGAACUGGAAGGUGAAAAAGGCUUUCGUCACCCUAGAUGGUACUUUCGAUGUGAGUGUGGAUGGCAUUUCCAUCUCAGUUUCUCUGAACUUGGGCAAGGACCAGUCGGGACGGCCCACUGCCUCCGUGGCCCGCUGCCGCAGCUCCAUCGGCCACAUCAGCGCUGACAUUUCCGGACGGCUAAGCUGGAUCCUGAACCUCUUCCAUGAAAGAAUUGAAAACAAUUUCAAAAAUAUCUUGGAACAAAAGAUCUGCGAAAUGGUCAGGAAGUCAACCACGUCUCACCUGGAGCCCUAUCUCCGGACUCUGCCAGUUAUCUUAAUGAUUGACCAGGUUGCUGGCAUUGACUACAGUUUAGUAGGUGCUCCCCAAGUGACUUCUCAAAUCCUAGACACACCCUUCAAGGGUGAAUUCUUUGGCCGAAACUGGCACUCCCCAGCCCCCUUCGAUGCUCCGCCCAUCAGGUUGCCAGAGAAACAUGAUCACAUGGUCUACUUUGCUGUCUCUGAAUAUGUCUUCAACACGGCCAGCCGGGCUUACCACCAGGCUGGGCGCAUGAACUUCACCAUCCAAAACAAGCACGUUCCCAUGGACUCUCCCAUCCGCCUGCACACCAGCUCGUUCCGGACCAUUGUUCCUCGGCUGGCCAGGUUGUACCCCAAUACGGAGUUAGAGCUUGAGAUGUCACCUGAAUCAGCUCCUUUCCUGAGGUUCACCCCUGGAAACGUGACCCUCAUGCCGGUGCUAGACAUCCAGGCCUUCGCUCUCCUGCCCACCUCCUCUGACCGCAAGCCACUCUUCCAGCUCAGGGUGACAACCAACAUCUCCGCCACCAUCAGUGUGAGUUCGGACAGGAUUGUUGGUUCAGUGACCACAGGAAGUAAGCUGAAAUUGGAACUGAAACACUCCAACGUCCGUUUCAUCAACGUGGAGCUGAUGGAAGCCAUCCUCAAUUACUACGCGCUCCACACCAUAUACCCCUCUCUCAAUGGCCAGCGGCAAAUGCCACGAGCGUGUGUCCGCACCUCUCCAGCCUUCCCCGUCCAGCCCGUGUCUCUCUGCUCUUUAUCUUCCAGCAAAGCUUGAGGAGGGCUUCCCUCUCCCUCUGCCAAGGGACACCCACCUCAACAGCUUGGAGCUCCAAGUCCACGAGAAUUUCUUGCUCCUGGGAGCCAACCUUGAUGAGGCUGAACACUGAGGAAGGAGCAGCGUGGCUGGAGGAGGGGACGGCACCACAGCUGGGCCUGCCCCCACCCCCGCGGGGGGUCCGGAGGCUGCGGCCGCUCUGCCUCCACUCCUCAUUAAAGCCUCCUCCACGUGGACACUCGUCACCGGGGAGCCUGGAGCACCCGAUGACACCCCUGACCGUGGGACACCUUCCCCACCCCUCUCCUCCUCCUUCCUGUGCCCUUUCCUGCCCCCUUUGCAGCUGUCCUUAGCCUCACUCUGGGCAGCCGCUAGAAUAAACUUCAGUGAAGGGGGGAAGCGUGAGCAGUGUCCAGUCACCGCAGAGCUCAAAGCACGCUGCUCAUCGUUAAACAUGAACUUAGUUGGACAUGUCCUUUGAUGUUGUGGCUACAGGAGCAGAAGUGAGACAACGUGGGCUUAAAGCCUUGUGUUGCCACUUCCUUGGUGCAUAAAUAUUCACUGACAUGGGAGCAGAGACCAGCCAGCCGCUACAUGAGUUCAACAUUUAUUCAACAAACCUCGAUUUCAGUUUGCUGCUGAGUGUCCUGCACUGGCCUCCGUGUCUGGGCUCGGUGCUGUGGAGGGAGGGGGUCAAAGUCUUCCUCAAGCUUUCUGCCAAAAACAGGGGCCAGCAGACCAGAGAGCAGAUUUUUCAGGCUUUUACCACACAUCUAGUCUCCAUCGGGACUACUCCUCCCGGCCACUGUAGCAGAGAACAGCCAGACAGCCAGUGAGCGGGCGUGGCUGUGUUCCAAUAAAACUUUAUUUACAAAAACAGGUGGCAGGCCAGAUCUGAGUGGCGGGCCACGCGGUGUCCACCCGUGGUCUAAAAGAAUAAUCCACCUCCAAUAGAUAGGAUUUAUACCAUGAAUACAGGUCUGGUUUUCAAUUAGGAGAUGUGCUAACAUGUCACAAGAGUAAUAAAGAGCUCAGGCUUGAGGCAAGCCUGGCCUGCUUUCGAAUACUGGCUCCCUCUCCUCGGCUCUCCGCAAUCCCCCAGAAUCCUGUGUUUUAAAAUAGCACAAGCAGUGGCCAAUGACCAUGCCACUCGAAGCCCCCUGCUCAACCUUAAACGUGUUGAAUGACUUAGUUGCACGUGUCAUUUGACAUCAUGACGUGGGGAAGAGGAGAGAUUGAAAUAAACUAUGUGGAAAGUGCUCAGGGCGAUUCUUGGCCCGAGCUGUGCUAGAUCGAUAAACUAGCAUGGUCAUCACCGUCCACUCCUCGUUAUUAAAGACCCCUUCAUAGACGAGGAGUAGGAUGACAGAUUUUCAAAUUUUUAGUCUGUCUUGCACCAUCAACCAAAAUCAUACCUGUGAUGAGAUCACAGAGGUGUUGCCUUUUUAUCUCGGAAGGCCCAGGAAAUGAGCCAGAAUGUCAGACAACCUUGGCCAGGAAAACCCAAAGUGUCUAAAAGUGGAGCCGUGAGAUGGUCAGCCAGGAUGGUGAAAGAGAAUGAACCGAAGUGAAAUAUCAUCCUGAAAUGCUCAGUUAAUUAUCAGAGUUAUGACUUUCCCUGUAGAUUAUUCUAUCUCCUCUGUUGCCCUCGCCGUCAGCUAUUGGAAAGCAACU
Ailuropoda melanoleuca (giant panda) is the source of this 3206-nucleotide RNA transcript. It is a transcript of the gene named lipopolysaccharide-binding protein, with no coding region annotated. Lineage: Eukaryota; Metazoa; Chordata; Mammalia; Carnivora; Ursidae. The record is from RefSeq and is a predicted model, not a curated record. The transcript has 15 exons.